This 363-nucleotide transfer-messenger RNA is filed under the name Candidatus Handelsmanbacteria bacterium. It matches the Rfam family "transfer-messenger RNA". From Rfam's summary of the family: Bacterial tmRNA, also known as 10Sa RNA or SsrA, is named for its dual tRNA and mRNA-like properties. Its role is to liberate the mRNA from a stalled ribosome. To accomplish this part of the tmRNA is used as a reading frame that ends in a translation stop signal. Lineage: Bacteria; Candidatus Handelsmaniibacteriota. The record is from RNAcentral. RNAcentral also lists the same sequence under 1 other name.
GGGGGCGACCUGGCUUCGACGGGGUUAGAAAAGCUCUGACUGCGUGCCGAGGGAUCCUGCUUCCUCGUAAAUCCGCGGGAAAACCAUUAAGCGACGAAACUCAAACGUACGCGAUGGCCGCUUAAGCAAUUAAGUAGCCCGUUCGGCCCCGUUGAGCCUGCGCGGCGGGUCCGAAUGACAUCUUUUGCAGGCUGGCCCAAACUCAUGCUCAGGGGGGGCGGGCGAGACUUUACUGAGCUGGUUCCGAUGCGUGGCCCUGUCGAUUGGCAGCGUAGCGGACGAGACUUUAAAGAUCGACUACGCACGUAGAGGUCUUGGUGGACUUGAUCUCGGACGCGGGUUCGAUUCCCGCCGCCUCCACCA